CCUACGGGUGGCAGCAGUGAGGAAUAUUGCUCAAUGGCCGUAACGCUGAUGCAGCGACGUCGCGUGAGUGAAGAAGUAUCUCUGUAUGUUAAGCUUCAUUUGUAGGGGAGUAAAUGUCUGCACCUGUCUAUGUUUCCCUGUCCAACUUCGUGCCGGCAGCCGUGGUAAUAUGCAGGAGGCAAGCGUUAUCCGGAUUUACCGGGUGUUAAGGGGGCGUAGUCGGUCAGAUAAGUCAGUAGUGAAAACUCGCGGCUCAACUACAGGGGUGCUGUUGAAACUGUAUGACUGGAGUGUGGUCGAGGUAGGUGGAAUGCCUGGUGUAGCGGUGAAAUGCAUAGAUAUUAGGCAGAACACCGGUGGUGAAGGCAGCUUACUAAGCUAUAACUGACGCUGAGGCUCGAAAGCGUGGGGAGCAAACAGGAUUAGAUACCCGAGUAGUC
This 440-nucleotide ribosomal RNA is filed under the name uncultured bacterium. Its description in RNAcentral is "partial 16S ribosomal RNA". It matches the Rfam family "Bacterial small subunit ribosomal RNA", at positions 338 to 795 of the family's 1533-position model. The record is from RNAcentral.